CAGCAGCAGCCGCGGGAAUACGAAGGGUGCAAGCGUUACUCGGAAUUACUGGGCGUAAAGCGUGCGUAGGUGGUGGUUUAAGUCCGUUGUGAAAGCCCUGGGCUCAACCUGGGAAUUGCAGUGGAUACUGGGUCACUAGAGUGUGGUAGAGGAUAGUGGAAUUUCCGGUGUAGCAGUGAAAUGCGUAGAGAUCGGAAGGAACAUCUGUGGCGAAGGCGACUAUCUGGGCCAACACUGACACUGAGGCACGAAAGCGUGGGGAGCAAACAGGAUUAGAUACCCCCGUAGUCCCUGUCUCUUAUAC
RNAcentral lists this ribosomal RNA (304 nucleotides) under uncultured bacterium. RNAcentral's name for it is "partial 16S ribosomal RNA". It matches the Rfam family "Bacterial small subunit ribosomal RNA", at positions 506 to 807 of the family's 1533-position model. The record is from RNAcentral.